RNAcentral lists this ribosomal RNA (659 nucleotides) under Halopseudomonas pachastrellae. RNAcentral describes it as "bacterial SSU rRNA". It matches the Rfam family "Bacterial small subunit ribosomal RNA", at positions 55 to 710 of the family's 1533-position model. The record is from RNAcentral. Lineage: Bacteria; Pseudomonadati; Pseudomonadota; Gammaproteobacteria; Pseudomonadales; Pseudomonadaceae.
AUGCAGUCGAGCGGAUGAAGGGAGCUUGCUCCUGGAGUUAGCGGCGGACGGGUGAGUAAAGCCUAGGAAUCUGCCUGGUAGUGGGGGACAACGACUCGAAAGGGUCGCUAAUACCGCAUACGUCCUACGGGAGAAAGUGGGGGAUCUUCGGACCUCACGCUAUCAGAUGAGCCUAGGUCGGAUUAGCUUGUAGGUGAGGUAAUGGCUCACCUAGGCAACGAUCCGUAACUGGUCUGAGAGGAUGAUCAGUCACACUGGAACUGAGACACGGUCCAGACUCCUACGGGAGGCAGCAGUGGGGAAUAUUGGACAAUGGGCGAAAGCCUGAUCCAGCCAUGCCGCGUGUGUGAAGAAGGUCUUCGGAUUGUAAAGCACUUUAAGUUGGGAGGAAGGGUUGUAGUUUAAUACGCUGCAACUUUGACGUUACCAACAGAAUAAGCACCGGCUAACUCUGUGCCAGCAGCCGCGGUAAUACAGAGGGUGCAAGCGUUAAUCGGAAUUACUGGGCGUAAAGCGCGCGUAGGCGGCUUGAUAAGAUGGGUGUGAAAUCCCCGGGCUUAACCUGGGAACUGCAUCCAUAACUGUCUGGCUAGAGUACAGUAGAGGGUGGUGGAAUUUCCUGUGUAGCGGUGAAAUGCGUAGAUAUAGGAAGGAACACC